CUAAUUCUAUUCCAUUAAAUCUCUUUUUGAUAUAGGAAACCUAAAAUCACCUGGACUGGAUGGUGAUAAGGACGCGCUUGAAACAAGAUCGCAAGUUUAUUUAAGUCGCAGAUUUGGCCUACGACUCUAGACGAAUGAAGGAAAACUUAGACUUUGAAACAACCUAAAAUACAAAAAAAUCCAAGUCAGAUCUAAGAACUAAAAAAGGCAGCAAUUAAAACAAAUAACAAAAAACAAAAACAAAAUAUCCAAAAUAAAUAUUAAAAACAAUUAAAUAAGAACAAAACUAUGACACCCCCAAACUCAACUUGGAUGAUCCAACCUGAAUUUCGAACAUCGCAUUAGCCACCGAAGUGACUCUCCAUUUAAAACUUUAAGAACCAC
RNAcentral lists this long non-coding RNA (384 nucleotides) under Gossypium raimondii (Peruvian cotton). RNAcentral's name for it is "long non-coding RNA (GRAI_LNC006374)". The record is from RNAcentral. Lineage: Eukaryota; Viridiplantae; Streptophyta; Magnoliopsida; Malvales; Malvaceae.